AUUGAACGCUGGCGGCAUGCCUUACACAUGCAAGUCGAACGGCAGCACGGGUGCUUGCACCUGGUGGCGAGUGGCGAACGGGUGAGUAAUACAUCGGAACGUACCUUAUCGUGGGGGAUAACGCAGCGAAAGUUGCGCUAAUACCGCAUACGCCCUGAGGGGGAAAGCGGGGGACCGUAAGGCCUCGCGCGAUUAGAGCGGCCGAUGUCUGAUUAGCUUGUUGGUGAGGUAAAAGCUCACCAAGGCGAUGAUCAGUAGCUGGUCUGAGAGGACGAUCAGCCAACCUGGGACUGAGACACGGACCAGACUCCUACGGGAGGCAGCAGUGGGGAAUUUUGGACGAUGGGGGCAACCCUGAUCCAGCAAUGCCGCGUGAGUGAAGAAGGCCUUCGGGUUGUAAAGCUCUUUUGUCAGGGAAGAAACAGCAGCUCUAACACAGUCUGCGAAUGACGGUACCUGAAGAAUAAGCACCGGCUAACUACGUGCCAGCCGCCGCAGUAA
RNAcentral lists this ribosomal RNA (501 nucleotides) under uncultured bacterium. RNAcentral's name for it is "partial 16S ribosomal RNA". It matches the Rfam family "Bacterial small subunit ribosomal RNA", at positions 30 to 523 of the family's 1533-position model. The record is from RNAcentral.